This 386-nucleotide ribosomal RNA is filed under the name uncultured marine eukaryote. RNAcentral's name for it is "SSU rRNA". It matches the Rfam family "Eukaryotic small subunit ribosomal RNA", at positions 613 to 1010 of the family's 1831-position model. The record is from RNAcentral.
UUGCAGUUAAAAAGCUCGUAGUUGGAUUUCUGGGAGGGUGCCAUUGUCCGCCAAAGCGCGUGUGCAGCGGCGCCCUUCCAUCCUUCUGUUAACGCCUCUUGGCAUUCAUUUGCUGGUGGCGGGCUCAGAUAUUUUACCUUGAGAAAAUUAGAGUGUUUCAGGCAGGCUAGGCCGGAAUACAUUAGCAUGGAAUAAUGGAAUAGGACUAUGGUCUCUUUGUUGGUUUGAGGGACUGCAGUAAUGAUUAAUAGGGAUAGUUGGGGGCAUUAGUAUUUAAUUGUCAGAGGUGGAAUUCUCAGAUUUGUUAAAGACUAACUUAUGCGAAAGCAUUUGCCAAGGAUGUUUUCAUUAAUCAAGAACGAAAGUUAGGGGAUCAAAGACGAUCA